UACGGGGGGUGCGAGCGUUAAUCGGAAUAACUGGGCGUAAAGGGCAUGCAGGAGGACUUUUAAGUGGGAUGUGAAAUCCCCGGGCUUAACCUGGGAAUUGCAUUUCAAACUGGAAAUCUAGAGUACUGUAGGGAGAGAUGGAAUUCCAGGUGUAGCGGUGAAAUGCGUAGAUAUGUGGAGGAAUACCGAAGGCGAAGGCAGUCUCUUGGGAAUGUACUGACACUGAUAUGCGAAAGCGUGGGGAGCAAGCAGG
RNAcentral lists this ribosomal RNA (253 nucleotides) under uncultured bacterium. Its description in RNAcentral is "partial 16S ribosomal RNA". It matches the Rfam family "Bacterial small subunit ribosomal RNA", at positions 524 to 776 of the family's 1533-position model. The record is from RNAcentral.